RNAcentral lists this ribosomal RNA (420 nucleotides) under uncultured bacterium. RNAcentral's name for it is "bacterial SSU rRNA". It matches the Rfam family "Bacterial small subunit ribosomal RNA", at positions 356 to 773 of the family's 1533-position model. The record is from RNAcentral.
AAGGAAUAUUGGUCAAUGGACGGAAGUCUGAACCAGCCAUCCCGCGUGCAGGAAGAAGGUCCUAUGGAUUGUAAACUGCUUUUAGCAGAGACGAAACGCCUUCAUUUAUGGGGGUUUGACGGUAUCUGCGGAAUAAGCACCGGCUAACUCCGUGCCAGCAGCCGCGGUAAUACGGAGGGUGCAAGCGUUAUCCGGAAUCACUGGGUUUAAAGGGUGCGUAGGCGGGGGAUUAAGUCAGUGGUGAAAGCCUGUAGCUUAACUACAGAAUUGCCAUUGAUACUGAUUUUCUUGAAUUGGGUUGAGGUUAGCGGAAUGUGACAUGUAACGGUGAAAUGUUUAGAUAUGUCAUGGAACACCGAUUGCGAAGGCAGCUAGCUGGGCCUUGAUUGACGCUGAGGCACGAAAGCGUGGGUAGCGAAC